UCCUUACAACGAUUACUCUCCAUUUCACUUUACAUAACUCUUCAACAAGGUGUACUAUUAAUCUCAAACUUAUUAAUGUCUGGGUAACUUACAAAAUCUAAAUAAUUGAUCGGGUUCUUCUAAGGUCUUUAAGUAUAAAAUUCCAUAUUAUAGAGACUUAUUAGGAUAUUUCAGUAAUGGGGUACACUAGUGGUUUAUUUAGAUCGAUCUUAUU
This 214-nucleotide long non-coding RNA is filed under the name Carica papaya (papaya). Its description in RNAcentral is "long non-coding RNA (CPAP_LNC005985)". Lineage: Eukaryota; Viridiplantae; Streptophyta; Magnoliopsida; Brassicales; Caricaceae. The record is from RNAcentral.